AAAAAACCAGGAGCGUUGGAUCACGCAUCAUUAACUGACGUGGCAGAUCCAACACUCCAAAUGAUGAUGAAUAUGAUGGAACACACUGCAAUAAUAACACAAGAUCUAAUUUGAAUUUAACCAAUCAAAACAUUUCAAAAUACCAAGGUGUCUGGUCCAAACUCAGACCACCUGAGAAAUACGCCAGUCAUCUUCUCCUGUGAGCUCUCACUAGAGUUUUAUCAUUUGGUAACUUCAAG
RNAcentral lists this long non-coding RNA (239 nucleotides) under Lathyrus oleraceus (garden pea). RNAcentral's name for it is "Pisum sativum (pea) long non-coding RNA (PSAT_LNC033127)". The record is from RNAcentral. Lineage: Eukaryota; Viridiplantae; Streptophyta; Magnoliopsida; Fabales; Fabaceae.